UACGGACUGUGCGAACGUUAUUCGGAAUCACUGGGCUUAAAGAGCUCGUAGGCGGCUCGGAGGGUGGGGUGUGAAAGCCCCCGGCUCAACCGGGGAAUUGCGCUCCAAACCGCCGAGCUUGAGGAAGAUAGAGGUAAGCGGAACUGAUGGUGGAGCGGUGAAAUGCGUUGAUAUCAUCAGGAACACCGGUGGCGAAGGCGGCUUACUGGGUCUUUUCUGACGCUGAGGAGCGAAAGCUAGGGGAGCAAACGGG
RNAcentral lists this ribosomal RNA (253 nucleotides) under uncultured bacterium. Its description in RNAcentral is "partial 16S ribosomal RNA". It matches the Rfam family "Bacterial small subunit ribosomal RNA", at positions 524 to 776 of the family's 1533-position model. The record is from RNAcentral. RNAcentral also lists the same sequence under 1 other name.